This 74-nucleotide transfer RNA is filed under the name Actinomycetota bacterium. Its description in RNAcentral is "tRNA-Arg". It matches the Rfam family "tRNA". From Rfam's summary of the family: Transfer RNA (tRNA) molecules are approximately 80 nucleotides in length. Their secondary structure includes four short double-helical elements and three loops (D, anti-codon, and T loops). Lineage: Bacteria; Bacillati; Actinomycetota. The record is from RNAcentral.
GCCCCCGUAGCUCAGGUGGAUAGAGCGGGUCGCUUCUAACGACAAGGUCGCGGGUUCGAGUCCUGCCGGGGGCG